ACUCAAAGGAAUUGACGGGGGCCCGCACAAGCAGCGGAGCGUGUGGUUUAAUUCGACGCAACGCGAAGAACCUUACCUAGGCUUGACAUGCACGUGGUAAGACCUGGAAACAGGAAUGACCCGCAAGGGAGCGUGCACAGAUGCUGCAUGGCUGUCGUCAGCUCGUGCCGUGAGGUGUUGGGUUAAGUCCCGCAACGAGCGCAACCCUCGCUGCCAGUUACCAUGUCUGGCGGGACCGCCGGGUCCAACCCGGAGGAAGGUGGGGAUGACGUCAAGUCAGCACGGCUCUUACGUCUAGGGCUACACACACGCUACAAUGGCCGAUACAAUGGGCUGCAAAGGGGCGACCCCGAGCGAAUCCCAUCAAAGUCGGUCUCAGUUGGGAUUGCAGGCUGCAACUCGCCUGCAUGAACGAGGAGUUGCUAGUAACCGCAGGUCAGCACACUGCGGUGAAUACGUUCCCGGGCCUUGUACACACCGCCCGU
This 485-nucleotide ribosomal RNA is filed under the name uncultured bacterium. RNAcentral describes it as "partial 16S ribosomal RNA". It matches the Rfam family "Bacterial small subunit ribosomal RNA", at positions 899 to 1397 of the family's 1533-position model. The record is from RNAcentral.